GAGGGAAACGUUCUGAUAAUACUGGAUAAGUUAGUAUAUCGCAUGAUAUGCAAAAUGAAAGCUACGGCACUAAAGGAGAGCUUUGCGUCCUAUUAGCUAGUUGGUAAGGUAAGAGCUUACCAAGGCGAUGAUAGGUAGCCGGCCUGAGAGGGUGGACGGCCACAAGGGGACUGAGAUACGGCCCUUACUCCUACGGGAGGCAGCAGGG
Molecule: ribosomal RNA, 208 nt
Filed under: uncultured Leptotrichia sp.
Lineage: Bacteria; Fusobacteriati; Fusobacteriota; Fusobacteriia; Fusobacteriales; Leptotrichiaceae
Description: partial 16S ribosomal RNA
Rfam family: Bacterial small subunit ribosomal RNA
Source: RNAcentral